RNAcentral lists this ribosomal RNA (497 nucleotides) under uncultured bacterium. RNAcentral describes it as "partial 16S ribosomal RNA". It matches the Rfam family "Bacterial small subunit ribosomal RNA", at positions 28 to 507 of the family's 1533-position model. The record is from RNAcentral.
GAUGAACGCUGGCGGCGUGCCUAAUACAUGCAAGUCGAGCGAACAGACGAGGAGCUUGCUCCUCUGACGUUAGCGGCGGACGGGUGAGUAACACGUGGAUCACCUACCUAUAAGACUGGGAUCACUUCGGGAAACCGGAGCUAAUACCGGAUAAUAUCUUGAACCGCAUUGUUCAAUAGUGAAAGACGGCUUUGCUGUCACUUAUAGCUGGAUCCGCGCCGCAUUAGCUAGUUGGUAAGGUAACGGCUUACCAAGGCAACGAUGCGUAGCCGACCUGAGAGGGUGAUCGGCCACACUGGAACUGAGACACGGUCCAGACUACUACGGGAGGCAGCAGUAGGGAAUCUGCCGCAAUGGGCGAAAGCUUGACGGAGCAACGCCGCGUGAGUGAUGAAGGUCUUCGGAUCGUAAAACUCUGUUAUUAGGGAAGAACAAAUGUGGAAGUAACUAUGCACGUCUUGACGGUACCUAAUCAGAAAGCCACGGCUAACUACGUG